AAAUUGAAGAGUUUGAUCAUGGCUCAGAUUGAACGCUGGCGGCAGGCCUAACACAUGCAAGUCGAACGGUAACAGGAAACAGCUUGCUGUUUCGCUGACGAGUGGCGGACGGGUGAGUAAUGUCUGGGAAACUGCCUGAUGGAGGGGGAUAACUACUGGAAACGGUAGCUAAUACCGCAUAAUGUCGCAAGACCAAAGAGGGGGACCUUCGGGCCUCUUGCCAUCGGAUGUGCCCAGAUGGGAUUAGCUAGUAGGU
This 256-nucleotide ribosomal RNA is filed under the name Escherichia coli. RNAcentral's name for it is "partial 16S ribosomal RNA". It matches the Rfam family "Bacterial small subunit ribosomal RNA", at positions 1 to 253 of the family's 1533-position model. Lineage: Bacteria; Pseudomonadati; Pseudomonadota; Gammaproteobacteria; Enterobacterales; Enterobacteriaceae. The record is from RNAcentral.